This 552-nucleotide ribosomal RNA is filed under the name Malassezia japonica. RNAcentral's name for it is "LSU rRNA". It matches the Rfam family "Eukaryotic large subunit ribosomal RNA", at positions 56 to 613 of the family's 3401-position model. The record is from RNAcentral. Lineage: Eukaryota; Fungi; Basidiomycota; Malasseziomycetes; Malasseziales; Malasseziaceae.
GAAAAGAAACUAACAAGGAUUCCCCUAGUAACGGCGAGUGAAGCGGGAAGAGCUCAAAUUUGAAAGCUGGUACCUUCGGUGCCCGCGUUGUAAUCUCGAGACGCGUUUUCCGCGCGGCGCUAUGGACAAGUUCCUUGGAACAGGACAUCGUAGAGGGUGAAAAUCCCGUACUUGCCAUGGAUGCACCGUGCUUUGUGAUACGUGCUCAAAGAGUCGAGUUGUUUGGGAUUGCAGCUCAAAAUGGGUGGUAGACUCCAUCUAAAGCUAAAUAUCGGGGAGAGACCGAUAGCGAACAAGUACCGUGAGGGAAAGAUGAAAAGCACUUUGGAAAGAGAGUUAAAAGUACGUGAAAUUGUCGAAAGGGAAGCGCUUGAAGUCAGCCAUGCCGCUCAGGACUCAGCCUGGCUUUUGCUUGGUGUACUUCCUGGGUAGCAAGUCAGCAUUGGUUUGGACCGUCGGAGAAGCAUGGCAGGAAUGUGACGCCCUCGGGCGUGUUAUAGCCUGCCAUUGGAUACGCCGGUCUAGACCAAGGAACGCAGUGCGCCUUAUGGC